RNAcentral lists this small nucleolar RNA (247 nucleotides) under Phaethon lepturus (White-tailed tropicbird). RNAcentral describes it as "Small nucleolar RNA SNORD17". It matches the Rfam family "Small nucleolar RNA SNORD17". From Rfam's summary of the family: The snoRNA HBI-43 belongs to the C/D family of snoRNAs, guiding 2'O-ribose methylation at position U3797 of the 28S rRNA. Lineage: Eukaryota; Metazoa; Chordata; Aves; Phaethontiformes; Phaethontidae. The record is from Rfam by way of RNAcentral.
GUGAGGUGAUGAUGAAGUUUAUCCAUUCUCUGAGUGCAGUGGUGCUGCCCUCCUGCAGCACCCCGAUUCCUGUUCUAGGGUCUGGGUGCUGUGCAGCCUCCAGAGACCCUCUGGUCUCCCAGUGUCCUACUGGGGGCUGCUGGGGUGUGUGGUGGCUGCCUGCAGGAGUGAUGUGGUGCUGGCAGGGUUAGAGCCCCUCUUUUGGGGGGCUCCAUCCCCACUGAGACGAGGGAUGAUGUCUGAUCAC